Molecule: unclassified non-coding RNA, 212 nt
Filed under: plant metagenome
Description: partial contains small subunit ribosomal RNA, internal transcribed spacer 1, and 5.8S ribosomal RNA
Source: RNAcentral
UUUCCGUAGGUGAACCUGCGGAAGGAUCAUUAAAAAUGAAGCCGGGAAACCGGUCCUUCUAACCCUUGAUUAUCUUAAUUUGUUGCUUUGGUGGGCCGCGCAAGCACCGGCUUCGGCUGGAUCGUGCCUGCCAGAGGACACAACUCUGUAUCAAAUGUCGUCUGAGUACUAUAAAAUAGUUAAAACUUUCAACAACGGAUCUCUUGGUUCUG